GAGAGCCCCCGCCGCCAACCAUCUACGGAGAUCGGGUUCGUCCACACACUCCCACCGCUGCCAUCCCCGCGAACCGGAGAGCGAGGCCGACACCGCCGCCGCGAUGAGGGCCAAGUGGAAGAAGAAGAGGAUGAGGAGGCUCAAGAGGAAGCGCCGAAAGAUGAGGCAGCGAUCCAAGUAGGCGCCUUGGAAGGAGGGGAAGCAUCAUCUUGCAUCCAGGUUGCCAGGCACCGAGGGAUGACGGCAUGGUCUAGUGAUUCCUGGCGUGUUUGCUGCGAUGGCUGUGGAAGCUGUUUAACCUGUGUUCUGUCCAAUUUAGCUGUUUAAUGCCUAGUCUGGUUAUGUUCCAAGACUGAGUUUUAUGUAAUGUGAGGAUUAUAUGUGUUUGUGACUGAAUUUUAUGCAGCUAUUAAUUUUGCAGUACUCUGAAAUAUGUAAUUCUCACCUGCGUCUCAUCUUUUU
Long non-coding RNA from Triticum dicoccoides, 462 nucleotides. RefSeq lists it as uncharacterized. The record is from RefSeq and is a predicted model, not a curated record. The transcript has 2 exons. NCBI's taxonomy places the organism in Eukaryota, Viridiplantae, Streptophyta, Magnoliopsida, Poales, Poaceae.